RNAcentral lists this ribosomal RNA (253 nucleotides) under uncultured bacterium. RNAcentral's name for it is "partial 16S ribosomal RNA". It matches the Rfam family "Bacterial small subunit ribosomal RNA", at positions 524 to 776 of the family's 1533-position model. The record is from RNAcentral.
UACGGAGGAUGCAAGCGUUAUCCGGAAUCAUUGGGCGUAAAGCGUCCGCAGGUGGCUGUGUAAGUCUGCUGUCAAAGAGCGAAGCUCAACUUCGUAAAGGCAGUGGAAACUACACGGCUAGAGUGCGUUCGGGGCAGAGGGAAUUCCUGGUGUAGCGGUGAAAUGCGUAGAGAUCAGGAAGAACACCGGUGGCGAAGGCGCUCUGCUAGGCCGCAACUGACACUGAGGGACGAAAGCUAGGGGAGCAAACAGG